AACAAGUCUUGUGUUGUGUUCUUGAGAAUCUCUAGAUUGGGACCUAUUAUAUUGGUGGGAAAUUAAAAACCUCAAGGAGGGAAUCGUGAUCUACGACUGCCAAAAUCUAGAUCUACGAUGUUUAGAGAUUUCACCGCAUUCGUAAUUUAGUGAUCCAGGUUUGUCUCUUCCUUGCUAUGUUCUUAACAUUACUUGAACUGGGUCUCUUGCUUCUGCUUAAUCUUCGCUUUGGAUGCUGAAAAAAAGCUACGAACUUGAAGUUAUCUUCUUCUGGGUUCACAAUAAUGCUGAAAUUGAAAAUUAGGGCUUUUGUGCUCCAUUACUUAACUACGACUCACUUCUCAUUUCGUUACUUCAUUUAUUCAUUAAACUUUAAUUUAGUGAGCUUAUGGAAAAAAAUUCUAAAGACUUCUCAUUUUUUAUGCAAGGUGUUUGUGAAUGAUUCAAAAACGCAUGUGCCUUAGGGAUCCUAUGUGAGUCACUACCAUCUAUAUAAUUGUCUUGACCUUUUUUCAUUCGGUUUGCUAACCAUUGUUCUCUUUGUUAAUAAUUUUUUUUUUGCUUCAUUGCAGAGAUGAUGAGCCUUUUUAUCAUCUUGACAGGUUUUAAACAUUAGACUUAUGUUAUCAUCUAUGCCCUCUAUUACAAGGUAUAAUCCUGCAUUCUGAAAUUAUCCCUUAUACUCUUUUUAUUUGUGUUUCGACACUGCUUAUGAUGGUGACGUUAAAAAAGCUUGCAAGUAUGGGAUGUACACUUGUAUUCACGAUUUAUCAAAGUAAAAGUGUUUGGUUUGUUUGAUAGAAUAUCAAAUGGAAACACACACUUUUUUUAGGAGACACUGGCUUGCUUACAGGUAAAUAUAAAAUGUUUGAAAGUAUUAUUUUCUAUUUUUGGCUGGUCACUUUAUUGUGUUCGGGUUAGCUUAUUUAUCUCUCUUCAUUGUGUUCGAUUAACACCAAAUUUGUUGUUCAUUGGCUGUCUGUUCUCCCACAUAUAGCUUGUCAUUGUUUUUGUGUUCUCUCAUUUGCAAAUUGUGUUCAAUUGUGUUCUGUCCAAAAUUGUGUUCGAUAGAUUCUAGUCCUUUAAUGUUAGUGUGUUCUGUCUAAGUACUUACUCGCUGGGAUUAUGUUGCAUUGUGGUCAACUGUUUAUAAUUCCUUAACAUCAUCGUAUCAUCAUUUUAUUGUUCUAGUAUUCUUCUUUACUCUUUCCCCACUAAAAUUCAUGUAAUACUCGCAGACAUGCACAUUAUCAUAUUGGAUUCUUCUGGUGUUGUUGAUAUGGAAAGAUGGGAGUUCUCGUUGGUAUAUCAUCUACACAUAUAACAUCAGAGAAAUUCUAAACUAACAUGUAAGUGGAUUUGACUUUUACAUUUAAAGCUCAUGGUUUUUCAUACAAAGUGCUUAGUGUUACACUUCCAUUUACAAAGUCUUAACAUAUAUUAUCUCUGUAUCUUGUAAAAGCAUGUCGUCUUAGAUCCUUUUGCAUAUAGUUUAUAUCUUUGUUGCAGCUUUAUAUUAAACAUUUUUCUCUAAACACUAGUAACUUGUGGUUGCAUCUUACAAUUAGAAGCUCCAUAGUACAGGUUUGAUGAUAGCAAAAUGUUUAUUUUCUUUUUGUUAUUUUGCAGAUUCCCUGGCAAAUGAUUUAAGAAGAUUCAAAGUAAUUUUUUUUGUACCUUUGAGUUUGGUUGUAUUACAUUUAAAUAUUGAUUGUGUUACAUUUCAAUUUGGAUUAAUAUAUAACACAAUUUACAUUUAAA
This 1761-nucleotide long non-coding RNA is filed under the name Capsella rubella. Its description in RNAcentral is "long non-coding RNA (CRUB_LNC000660)". The record is from RNAcentral. Lineage: Eukaryota; Viridiplantae; Streptophyta; Magnoliopsida; Brassicales; Brassicaceae.